GGUGGGGCGGCCUGGGGUUAAGGAUGACACGAAAGUUCUCCCCUGCUUGGCCUCGCUCCCUGGGGCAAAGGGACAACGUGCAGCAAGAGAGCUUCGUGUCAGGUCCGGGAGAGCCGCGGCCACCGCCAGGGCCUGCAGACAGACCCCCUCUCCAGCUGCGGCCGCAGGGGAGGCCGAGGGCACGACCCGGGGACAGAGGGAGCCCUCCAACUGAAGCGCUGAUCGUGUGCCAGCCCCCGACAGCAGCCUCAUGACAUGAGUACUGUUAUUCACGCCAGUUACAGAUGAGCAUGAUGACGCUCAGAGAGGGUCUCGAGGAGCCUGAGGCUCUGCUUUCUGUGAUGCUCCCAGGUGGUGCUGAUGCUGCUGGGCCACAGACCAUACUCUCAACAGUGGAGUCGGAGGAGAUAUUUCUGAAAGGUGAGUCUGCUGUGUUCCCUACCAGGAGCUCCUGUCACAGCCCUGACACCUGCUGAAGUGCUUGGCUCAUGUGAAGAGCAGACAGGGCAGUAUCCCACGAAGGCGGGGAGGUCUGUCUGUCCUGUUCCCAGCUGUGUGUGCCUGGAUCACAGACGGGCUCUCAAUACCUGUGGAAUGUUGGCAGGACUCGAGGAACUCAGAACAGACACCCCUCUCCAGGCACCUUCUGAAACAUUUGCUGGGCGGGGGUGUGAUGGAUUUGAGUCCUUAUUUGGUCCAGGACUGCUGCAAACUCACGAAAGAUCUUAGAAACCAUCCAAAGCACGUCUUUCUUAAACUCGUAAAUCUGACCCAGCCACCUUACACAUCAGGCCGCCACCUGAGCACACGCGGCUGUUUUUCUUGUUAUGGGAGCUUUGGCCAGCGUGGUCUCCAAGUGGCACAUGGGAGAGGGUACUUCCUGCUCUGACGCUUGGGCAUGUGGGCCACAGAGGGGCCAGUCUCCAGGAUGAAGCACUUUCUUUAAGAUGGGGCCAAAGCAUCCCAGGUGAGCUCUUGGGCCGCUUAACCAGGCUCACGGAUUUGGCCUAGUCCUUGUCCUGACGCUCUCAGGGCUGGUCCAGGCAGGGAGCCAAAUGCCUUGCUCUUCCACAGUCUAUCUGUCUGUUUGUUUUGAUCAGAGAGAACGGGAAGAGAAACUGUUCAUUACCACGGUAACUGCUUAGGGAGUCUUAAGUAAGGAAGCCUGUGGUCCAGCUCUCCUCCGAUGAGGGUCCUGCCUUCCAGGAAACUAUCAUCUUCUUAGGGAGCAAGACUCCCAGAACACGAGCUGUGGAGCCAGGACCAAUGGGAGGACUCCUGAGCUGGGGCUAACGCAGAGGGCUUCCCAGAGGAGCAAAAAUGAGCCAGGCCUUCAAGUAGUUGGAUAACAAGGAGGAUAAAGGAAGAGCAUGAAUGUGGAGAUGACAUAUCCCAGCAUUCUUUCAGAGGUGAUGACUAUGGCAGGCUGCCUAGAAGAAAGUCUGGGGUGUAACGGGUAGAAAAGCAAAGUGGAUGCAGAGUGUAGACAGCCUUGGAUGUCAGGCCAGAGGACUGGAAGCCUGGACCCAUCCCUUUGGAACUAGAGUCCAGGAGGUACAUUCUGUUAGGCUCAGGCUGUCACAGGACAGUCACAGAGAGACAGGCUCCUGAGUGAAGCCAAGGCUGGGUCACCAGAUAGAUGGAGAGCACAAAGAUCCAGCCACUAGGUACGGCUGUACAGUUUGUGCACUGCACAAGAGCGCCUGCCGAGGGAGCAGGUAAGCGCUGAAACCCAGCUCUCCUAUCAUCAAGCUAUGCACCCUGGUAUGGGCUGCCUUCUCCUAGGGGCUCCUCCAUCCACUGCUCACUAAGGCCCCCCUACAGGCCAGCAGUGGUCUGAUCAGCUCAAGUCACAGCCACGCGGUGUUUUCCCCUUGUGGCAAGGCAUUUUCUCAGAGCAGCCAGUCGCGUACAUUCCCCGGGUGUCCCAAGGAGGGCACUGCUCAGCUUUGCACAGGAUGACCAAGCCCUGAAGGCACAUUCUAAGAUUCUAGAAUGCGUCAUUCUAAGGAUACGGUUGGAACCCGAGCAGACCAGUGUCCUGCUCCUGCUGGCGGACAGAACCAGCGAGCAGGUGGUCUGUAAUGGCCCACUUCAGCCGGGCUCACCCAGAUCUCCCUACUGCAAGGACGACUGAGCUCCCACGCAGGAAUACGGGCAAACAGAGCCUCUGCGGCCCUCAAGAUGCUCCCGGUGGGGCCAGCAGCUGUCCGCCCCGAGCGUUUGCUUCACAAAGUGUCCCACGGUCACCCUGGCAGCAGCCUCCAACUUCACGUGUGCCGAUGACACAGAGAAAGGCAGAGGGCUCCAGGACCCUUAGAGCCGGUGUUUCUCUUUAGGGCACCACAGGCUUUUUGGUUCCCCGGUCACUGUGACAACCAAAAAUGUCCCCCUACACGUGUCAAUGGCUCCCUUGGGAGGAGUGAAUCGCCCCCAGAUGAGCAUACCUGAGCCCCUCCCAGUAGAAGAGAAAACUGGGGCCCAGUACCUCGUCCCGGGUCCUCCUGCUGGGAGAGGCACAGCAAGAACUGGCAGGCAGGCUUCCUCCCCCCUCGGCUCCAGCUCUCCCACUCACUGGCAGUGGUCUUUCAUCCCUCAGCCUUCAUCGUGCCCGAGCUUUCUGAAUGGAGACCACAGGACUGACUGGGCCAAGCGGUCCAACUUUAUCCCCUGCCCCCAGAUGCUUGUGACAGCUACAUGGAUAUCGGUCAGAACCCCUCUGUCGGCCUCUGAGGCCUGGAAGCAUGAGCACAGAUGAGUGGGUCUGUAGGCUGGCCCUGACUUCGGAGGUCCCCCACGGUUCUGUGGUGUCCUCACUCUCCACGGGGCUGGACCCGCAUCCUGCGCAUGACCUGCUCAGGCGAAACCGUGGCUCAAAUGUUGUUCACCUCCCUGACGAUUCCUGGGGGAACCCUGCCGUCUCCUGCCCGCUGGCUGUGCUCACAGUGAGCAGAGUGGACUCACUCCCACAGGAGGCCAGGAGAGGCGCAGGUGGAGGCGCCGCGGCAGGGCCCAGCCCGGAGCCUCUGCAUGAGGCUGGAUGCCCCGCUUUACCCCUUGCCUCUCCCUGGAGCUGGCCGGACUCUGUGGGGCUCCUGGGGCCAACCAGCCACGAGCUGUCAGCCAUGUGCUGUGACCUCCAGGAACAGGACCCGAGAAGGCCUCGACACAUGCCGGGGUCCCUUGCAUUCGGAGCUCAUCAUAGAUGACAGCCAAUAAAUAAAUUGUAUAACUUUUA
Equus caballus (horse) is the source of this 3238-nucleotide non-coding RNA. The record is from RefSeq and is a predicted model, not a curated record. Lineage: Eukaryota; Metazoa; Chordata; Mammalia; Perissodactyla; Equidae.